CCAACACUGGGACUGAGACACUGCCCAGACUCCUACGGGAGGCUGCAGUCGAGAAUCUUUCGCAAUGGGCGCAAGCCUGACGAAGCGACGCCGUGUGAGCGAAGAAGGCCUUCGGGUUGUAAAGCUCUUUCGCUUGGGAACAAGAGAGGUUGGUUAAUACCCGGCUGAUUUGAGGGUACCUGGUAAAGAAGCACCGGCUAACUC
Molecule: ribosomal RNA, 204 nt
Filed under: uncultured Chlamydiales bacterium
Lineage: Bacteria; Pseudomonadati; Chlamydiota; Chlamydiia; Chlamydiales
Description: partial 16S ribosomal RNA
Rfam family: Bacterial small subunit ribosomal RNA
Source: RNAcentral